AUGCCCGUUGCCCGGGGACAACCGGUGGAAACGCCGACUAAUCCCCGAUGGGAUACGAUGCUUCAUGGCAUUGUAUUGAAAGUUACGGCGGCGACGGAUUGGCUCGCGUCCGAUUAGCUUGUUGGCGGGGUAACGGCCCACCAAGGCUACGAUCGGUAGGGGUUCUGAGAGGAAGGCCCCCCACAAUGGGACUGAGACACGGCCCAUACUCCUACGGGAGGCAGCAGUGAGGAAUAUUGGUCAAUGGGCGGAAGCCUGAACCAGCCAUGCCGCGUGCGGGAAGGAGGCCCUAUGGGCUGUGAACCGCUUUUGCCUGGGGGCAAUAAGGGCGUCGCGCACGUCCGAUGAGAGUACCAGGCGAAUAAGCAUCGGCUAACUCCGUGCCAGCAGCCGCGGUAAUACGGGGGAUGCGAGCGUUAUCCGGAUUCAUUGGGUUUAAAGGGUGCGUAGGCUGUGCGUCAAGUCGGGGGUGAAAUUCCGGUGCUCAACACCGGGGCUGCCCUUGAUACUGUCGCGCUGGAGUGCGGAUGCCGCCGGAGGAAUGAGUGGUGUAGCGGUGAAAUGCUUAGAUAUCACUCAGAACACCGAUUGCGAAGGCAUCUGGCGAAUCCGUAACUGACGCUGAGGCACGAAAGCGUGGGGAUAGAACAGGAUUAGAUACCCUGGUAUUCCACGCCGUAAACGAUGAUGGCUAACCGCCGGCGACACACUGUCGGUGGCCAAGCGAAAGCGAUAAGCCAUCCACCUGGGGAGUA
RNAcentral lists this ribosomal RNA (755 nucleotides) under uncultured bacterium. RNAcentral's name for it is "bacterial SSU rRNA". It matches the Rfam family "Bacterial small subunit ribosomal RNA", at positions 126 to 882 of the family's 1533-position model. The record is from RNAcentral.